RNAcentral lists this unclassified non-coding RNA (391 nucleotides) under soil metagenome. RNAcentral describes it as "partial contains 5.8S ribosomal RNA, internal transcribed spacer 2, and large subunit ribosomal RNA". The stretch from base 1 to 122 matches the Rfam family "5.8S ribosomal RNA", at positions 35 to 154 of the family's 154-position model. The record is from RNAcentral.
GAUGAAGAACGUAGCGAAAUGCGAUACUUGGUGUGAAUUGCAGAAUCCCGUGAACCAUCGAGUCUUUGAACGCAAGUUGCGCCCGAAGCCAUUAGGCCGAGGGCACGCCUGCCUGGGCGUCACACGUCGUUGCCCCCCCAUCUACUCCUUCGGGAUUGCGGGGGGCGGAUGAUGGCCUCCCGUGCGCCUCGUCGCGCGGUUGGCAUAAAUGCCAAGUCCUCGGCGACGCACGCCACGACAAUCGGUGGUUGCGAAACCUCGGUUGCCCGUCGUGUGCGGUCGUCGCGCAUCGAGGGCUCGAAAAAAUUGCCGGGCUCCGGCUCGGCUUUCAACGCGAACCCAGGUCAGGCGGGGUUACCCGCUGAAUUUAAGCAUAUCAAUAAGCGGAGGA